RNAcentral lists this ribosomal RNA (462 nucleotides) under uncultured bacterium. RNAcentral's name for it is "partial 16S ribosomal RNA". It matches the Rfam family "Bacterial small subunit ribosomal RNA", at positions 28 to 507 of the family's 1533-position model. The record is from RNAcentral.
GACGAACGCUGGCGGCGUGCUUAACACAUGCCAGUCGAACGGAAAGGCCCUUCGGGGUACUCGAGUGGCGAACGGGUGAGUAACACGUGGGUGAUCUGCCCUGCACUUUGGUAUAAGCCUGGGAAACUGGGUCUAAUACCGAAUAGGACCACGCGCUUCAUGGUGUGUGGUGGAAAGCUUUUGCGGUGUGGGAUGGGCCCGCGGCCUAUCAGCUUGUUGGUGGGGUAAUGGCCUACCAAGGCGACGACGGGUAGCCGGCCUGGGAGGGUGACCGGCCACACUGGGACUGAGAUACGGCCCAGACUCCUACGGGAGGCAGCAGUGGGGAAUAUUGCACAAUGGGCGCAAGCCUGAUGCAGCGACGCCGCGUGAGGGAUGACGGCCUUCGGGUUGUAAACCUCUUUCACCAGGGACGAAGCGUAAGUGACGGUACCUGGAGAAGAAGCACCGGCCAACUACGUG